GACGAACGCUGGCGGCGUGCUUAACGCAUGCAAGUCGAACGGAAAGGCCCUGCUUUUGUGGGGUGCUCGAGUGGCGAACGGGUGAGUAACACGUGAGUAACCUGCCCUUGACUUUGGGAUAACUUCAGGAAACUGGGGCUAAUACCGGAUAGGAGCUCCUGCUGCAUGGUGGGGGUUGGAAAGUUUCGGCGGUUGGGGAUGGACUCGCGGCUUAUCAGCUUGCUUGUGGGGUAGUGGCUUACCAAGGCUUUGACGGGUAGCCGGCCUGAGAGGGUGACCGGCCACAUUGGGACUGAGAUACGGCCCAGACUCCUACGGGAGGCAGCAGUGGGGAAUAUUGCACAAUGGGCGGAAGCCUGAUGCAGCAACGCCGCGUGCGGGAUGACGGCCUUCGGGUUGUAAACCGCUUUCGCCUGUGACGAAGCGUGAGUGACGGUAAUGGGUAAAGAAGCACCGGCUAACUACGUG
Molecule: ribosomal RNA, 468 nt
Filed under: uncultured bacterium
Lineage: Bacteria
Description: partial 16S ribosomal RNA
Rfam family: Bacterial small subunit ribosomal RNA
Source: RNAcentral